Molecule: long non-coding RNA, 5735 nt
Organism: Myotis daubentonii (Daubenton's bat)
Lineage: Eukaryota; Metazoa; Chordata; Mammalia; Chiroptera; Vespertilionidae
Source: RefSeq, a predicted model, not a curated record
AAGACUAAAAGAAUAAAAACAACAUCAACACAGGUGCAUAGACUAUUGAGUUAAGUAAGUAGACUUACUAGUACUCAUUAAGUCUAGCUUUGUAUCCCAAAUGGGGACUAAUUUACUAGCCACAAAAGUACAUACCAAUUGUGUAGGUGUAAACAAGUAAUAAAAUGGAGGUUAUAAUAUCCUUUACUAUGUAUCCCUCUUAAGUAAUUACUUGGCCUAGAGUUAAAAAUAGAGAGGCAAGGCCUUUAUCCUGCUCUUUGCUUUCUGUAUUUCUAUGCUCUGCUCUUACUUGUUUCAUGGGACUAAGAUGUGGUCACAUGAGCCACUGUUUCUCUUGUUAUCCUUUCUCUUUAGCACAUAAAAACUAGCAUUCUCCCAAUUUCAAAAGCUUCACAUUUUUGAAAAGGCACUGCAGCAGUGUUACUUGAAAAGAUUUUUUUCAUAGAAUGAUUUUAUCAAAUAUUUUUUAUAUUAAGAGGAAAUGUACAGACAUAGCAAUUAGCAGUGUUCUGCUAAAGGAAAAAGAAAGUUCCUAUUUGAAAAGCUGGUAAGCAGACAAUAUAUUUAUUUAUUUUUAUAUUAUAGAAGUAUGACAACUAUGCAACACCCAUACACCUUUCACAACCAUAAGCUUCUAUAUAAUAAUUUGAGUUUGGUUUAUAUCCUAAUGCUCUAAAGGAAAAGUAUUUGCAUGUUCUUUAGUCUGAAAUAAAGUUCUGUUUUCUACCUUUGAAAAAAGAUCUUUCUAUCCUUAUUUUGUAGACUACUGGGUUAGGCUUAAGUAAACUAAUAGAAGUUCUCAAAGAGAACUUUUUGCUGUGUUGGCUGUCCUUGCGAGAUUUGGCUGUGGAGAGUAAACUCUUGCACUAAGAGCCCUUAUGUUCACAGCAAAUAAAUCUUAAUUUAAAUAAAAUCUACUUUAUAUUUUCUUCAUGAAAAUCGAGCUAAUUCUGCCUUUACCCUAUUUAAAAAGCAGGGCAAGAAGUGCGAAUUUUUUUAAAAUAUAUUUUUAUUGAUUUCAGAGAGGAAAGGAGACGGAGAGAGAGAGAGAAACAUCAAUGAUGAGAGAGAAUCAUUGACCAGCUGCCUUUGCAUGCCCUCUAUUAGGGAUCAAGCCUGCAACCUGGGCAUGUGCUCUGACCUGGGAAUCGAACUGUGACCUCCUGGUUCAUAGGCUGACACUCAACCAACUGAGCCACAUCAGCUGGGCAAGAAAUGGGAGUUUUUAAAUAAAAUUUCCAUCUCCCCAAAAAGAAACUCCUUCAAAUUAGCAGUCAUAGGUUUGCCUAUUUUGGAAGGUUGGAAUAAACUUUUGCCGACCACUGCUAUAUGGUAUUUUCUGUUUAGCUUCUUUCACUUAAUAUGUUUUCAAGGUUCAUUCUGAUUGUAGCAUGUAUAUAAAUACUUUGUUCUCUUUUACUGCAAAAUAGCUGUUUGUAGGCUAUAGGGCAUUCCAUUUACCCAUUUACCAAUGGAUGGACAUUUGGGUUGUUACUGGUUAUUAUGAAUAUGUCCAUGUACAGGUUUUUAUUUAGAUAUUUCUCUUAGGCAUACCUGAAAUUAGAAUUGGGUCACAUGGUUUAACUGUAUUUUUAAUCUUUUUAGAGACUACAAGAUUCUUUUCCAAUGUGGCCAUGCCAUUUAGGUCUGUGACUUUUAAAUUCUGUAUCCUCGGCAGCUAGUACAAUGUUUACUGAAUGAAAUGUUAAAUAAUUUAUUCCACAAGGUUUUUCUCAAAUAACUAAUAUGAACCUUUUGGUUAUAUAUUUGCUUACGACUCAAUACAAAGUUAUAGCAUGCAUGUGCCCUACUCAUUAGCACUGUCAUUUUUAUAUAUAAAAAGAACAUAUUAUUGGUUUAUGUACAGGUGGAGAAAAAGACUAAAAUUAAUUAUAAAAGUGGAAGGCUAAUUUUUGUUGUCUUCUAAAUAUCUGGCCUCAAAAUCAUGGACAUUGUUACACUUAAUGCCAGUCAUGUUUUCAUAUUUCAUUUGCUUAUAUGUAGCAUUUCCAAAACUAAUACCAGCUGAUCUUUCUUAUACAUAAAAAUGGCUAAUAUCUACUAUGUGAAAUAUUACUCACUGGAAGGAUCUCAAACGUUUGUAGUGUCCCACUGUUUAGUGUUAUUGUUUCCGAGUCAACAGGAGCAGCAGGGGGGUCUGUUGAAGCUGUGGCAAGAGCAAGGACAACAAUAAAAUGCUGUAUAAAUGUAAAUUUCCUAGUGUACUUACUUAUGAAGGCAAUCUCACACUGAAUAAUUUGCCUGGAGAGCUAAAUUCAUUUAAAUUUCUUUUGAGAUAUUAAGAAAUGGAUUUGUCUGGGAUGGCAAAGGUCAGGGAUUGGCAAACUGGCCCACAGUCAAAUCCAGCCCACUACCAGUUUAUGUAAAUCAAGUAUUACAGGAACACAGCUACAUGCAUUUCUUUUCUAUGGUUACUUUUGCACUACAGUGGCAGAGUUGAGUAGCUGUGAGAAUAUUUACCAGCCCCUGGUAUGGGUCGUAAAAUAUUUCUAGUGUUAGGAAUUAAGAGGAAUACACUGAGGCUAACUUGUAAAGAAAUAGGAAGUUGGUAAAAAAAAUUUCCUAGACAUUCUGGUAAGUGGUAUAGAUGUCUAGAAUGGUAGUCCUAAAACACUAGGUUUUAGUUUUAGUGGCAUCACCUCUUAGCAAUGUAAACUUGGGCAAAUAACUUACUUUAAUUCAAACUAAAGUCCAGAGACUUUAUCUGUCGUGAGGAUAAAACCAUGAAAUAAAUUUAAGUAUUUCAAACAACCACGUUUGGGAGACUGAACAGCACUCUAGAGAUCAAACAGUAUAAUCUCUUUAGAGGUGUGUCAUCUGAGACUCAGACUUCAUCUGUCUGCUGAAGGUUACCUAGAACUAAAACUUCACUAGAAGAAAGGUCUCUUCUGGUGCUUUCAGUUGCACCUGUGGUAUAUCCAUCUGAAAAAUGACUUGCAAUCAACUCAUGUGUAAUGUUUAUUUUAAGUUUAUUAUAUUCUGACUAUAACACUUCUCAGUUGGAAAGAAAUGCACUUCAUUUGGGUUAUUUCUCUUACUAUUUGAUGGAUUCUUAAGAUCAUACCUAGAAUAAUUUGAAGUGAUUCCUGAUAACCUAAAUCAAAAGUAAGCAAACUGACUGUAGAUAAAUGUGCUUCGAGGCUAAGCUAUGCUGUGAAUGAAUAUUAAGGUAUCAUUUAUAAAAUGCUAUUUUCUGAAAAAUUAUUGCCAACACAAUAGUCAACAAAAAUUGUAGCAAUCUCCAUGCACCAUCAAUUUAGAGCUCUUGUAUUUAUGGUGGACUAGUAAUUUCAGUUGCUUUGCAAUUGUUGAGUAUAAAAACAAGCAGUGCCAAAGAAAAAUUCUUCAUGCUUUAUUACAGUGAUAGAAAACUAAAGCAAAUAACCAAACUUAAAUUAGAACUUUUUGAAUAAGACAGGAAUGCUUAAUAUAAAUGUCUGUAAGGUAACUUUGAUAGUCAUUGCAUAUACACAUAUAUAGUGUUAAUUACAUAGGUGGCCCAGUGAUUUUUAAACAGGAUCGAGGGUACAUUUGAAAAUCUGUAGGGUGUUUUUCCCCCCUAUGACUGGAAAGCACUACGUGCAUUCUGUGGGUCAAGGGACACUGACCAUCCUGCAGUGUGUAGGAGAGUCCUGCCAACAAAGAACUGCCCCACUCAAAAUGCCAAUAAUCCCGUGGUUGAGAAUGACACACAGUGAGUGGUGUACUCUUGGCAAUGACCUUCCCAUAGUCAAGCUGCAUUAUGUAGAGGGGAAAAAAAGUAAUGUAAAAGUAAGUUAAGGAUAAUAUAUAUGGUUCUGAGAAUUUUAUGUUCAUUGUCACUCUAAUGGGAAGAAGGAAGAUGAUAAACUUGGCUUAGGUCUUAGGAAAUAUAUUUCCCCUUCCUACAAUUGCUAGAGGUUCUCAUAAUCUCAUUAAGCACAAAAAUGUCAGGGGCUAAGGAAAAGACAGAUAAAUCAACAGUUCCCACAGGAAACUGGCUCUUUAGUCCCUGAAGAAAAUCUUUUACAACCUCAUCAAAAUCCCUUUCUUUUACAUGCCACCUCAAAUCCAUUCCUAAUUUGUGACUUCCAGAGAAUUACCACAAAAGAUGUGCCACCUAAUGGUCUCUAUUUCCUUGCUCAAUUGACUAUAUGAGGUAGUUUUCUAUUAACUAUUAAUUUAUAACAUCUAGAAAGAUAAUUUCAUAUUGUCUACAAUGGCUGGCCAAUUGGUUAUCAGCACUUCCUAUCAUAUUCAUCUUUUGUGCAAAUAUUCAGCUAACAAAUAGAUCCCUUAAAUCUUUAAUUCAUCAACUUGGAUAAAUUUCAACAUUCUAGAAGAUUGCAAGGAAUCAGAGCCAUUAACCAAAUUAUAUAGGUCACAUAGCAAAAAGUCUUGAGGUCCAAACACUUACAGACAUGGGUGAUCUGGACAGGAAUCUGCAAGGCUGCCAUGGGGUUUGGGGAGAUAGCUGUAUUGUCUUCCAAGCGGGCCACUCUGAUCUGAACGUGCUGUACACUGGAACUGGAAUUACUGUUUGGAACUCCAGAUCCCGAUUUGUUCUCCAAAAGCGUUGGGUUGUUUUUUUGGUUCUCAUGUAACUGUUUAAGACCUUUUAUUAAGACUGAAGGGAGAUGGGUAGACAAAAAGAACAUUGACUCUCCGACAGACCACCAUCUAAGCAGCAAGGGAGGUGGGGGUAAGGAGGGAAAGUAUUUGGAAUAAAUAAUUGUAUGCUGGAUGUGAAAUCUUACCAAAAUAAUAAAAAUAUUUUAAAACUACAGCCUGUCUGGGAAUUUUUAGAAACGUUCUCCAUCACAACAGACUUAAAAAAUUCAUAACAUAGUAUUUAUUGUUCUUGCCAUUUAAGAUGCACUGAAAAAUAGCCAUUGUGAGGAACAUGGAAAUAGGACAUUUUCUGUGUCCUAGGGUUUUUCAUAAAAUUCUUACUAUUUAGUAAAAAUAUUGGUAAUGCUAAAUAGCUUAUUUUCAUUUUAAAAUGAAAAUGUACUUUCCCACACAAGGACUCAAGGGCACUUGAAUAUUUUAGCCACUGCAAGAACAGCAGCUCAUUGUCUCCAAACUAAUACACAACUACCUUGCGUUCUUGUCAUGAUAAACUACAUCAAUCCUCCCAGGUGGUGCUGCAGUCUGGCUUGGUUCAUGUUACAUUAGUAUUCAUUCACUGUUCUGGGGUCUUAUCAGAUUUAUACAUUUAUAACAGAGUAUUUAAUUGUUUAAAAAACUACAUUUUCAUCAAGCCAAAGUUUCUCAGCAUUUAAUUUUCCUCUGGAAAAAUAGAUGUUGGAGAACUAUAUUAAGGGGAAUAAAUUUGAUUACCUAAAUUAAGCAGGUAAUUAGUUAUUAAUGCCUAAGUGCACAGCAGGUAAUGAAAAGUAUGCUAUGCCUCACUUUUAAGCAAUCCCAACGUAACAUUUCUAGAUUUACAUAAAUAUUAAAAAUUUACAGAGCUAUUUAUGUAUUUAUUUUCUAUUGUCUAAAGUUUUACAUAUGUCUCCUUUUCCCCCCAAUUGACUCCCUCCCCCAUCCCUUCCCAGCCCAGGCAAGCCCCCACCGCCCCAGUGUCUGUGUCCUUUGGUUAUGCUAAUAUGCAUGCAUAUAAGUCCUUUGGUUGCUCUCUAACCCACCUCCCCUACCAUUUGUGUCCAGAUCGAUCUAUUCUUGUUCAUAACAGAGCUAUUGUUGUACAAAAUAAUUUAUCACAGAAUUUC